Molecule: long non-coding RNA, 3257 nt
Filed under: Homo sapiens (human)
Lineage: Eukaryota; Metazoa; Chordata; Mammalia; Primates; Hominidae
Description: HSALNT0143616
Source: RNAcentral
CUGACUUGAAACAUGCUUUGAUGAAUUAGUGCAACUCGGCCAGCCAUUUACUUUAAAUUUUACCCUUGAUUCUUCCUCUAGCAAACAAUUAAGGAGCAGCAGUGGCUUCCUGCAGGGGAGACCAAUGCCUUCUGUCCUCAGCGGAAACAGCUUGGCAUUCUUCCAAUUGAUGAAUGGCAUGGACCAGGAGCACUAGUUAUCUUCAGCUUCUGAGCAUCCGAAUAAAUAAACAUACAAAUGCAUAACAUAAAAUAAAUUCAAAUUACAAAUGAGAAAACCAAUCUAGGUUACCGGCAAGUCCUAUGACUUGAUGUGGAGGCCUGGAAGUGCAUCCUUGAAUCUUGCAAUGCAGUGAGCCAAGGAGCAAUGAGAGGCCACAUGAAUAACCGGGCCAGUGACAAGACACAUGUCCUCCUCCUUGCUGGUAUACACCAGAAUGCCCCGCAUGCAGCGAAUGCUCAAAAAGUGUUGGUGGAAGUGACAGAAUUCCAUCACCAUUAAACACAACCAGUGUUGCGGUUGACAAUGGCACUGAAGCAGGUGAAAAAUCCGUACAGCAGCUUCUGUCUUUGAAGAGUUUGCAGCCUCUUGAAGAGGGUUUAGAGGUUAAAAAAAGCUUUGUGCUGAUGAACAUGGUCACCUUGAAAGGUGUGUUGAAUAUGGCAGAGCCAGAAAAUGCAAGGAGCUUCUUCUCUGGAUCACCACUUGAAGAAGAGCCACUUGCUCCUCAGGAACCCUAUUUUGGACUGACGUUGCAAGAAAGCUCAAGUAGCCUAUGGAGAGGAUGCAAGGCUUCCAGCUGAUGCCCUCAGCCAGGCUCAGUAGCAGCCAGAACUAGCCUACCAACGAACCUGCUGAUCAUGUGCAUAAGCCACCUUGAACGUCGAUCCUCCUGCCUGGUGGAGCCAUCCCAGCUGAUGCCACAUGAAGCAGACACAAGCUGUCCCUACUAAGCUCUGCUCAAGUUGGAUAUUCAUGAGUGAAAUAAAUGACUGUUACUAAGUAAUUAAUUUUUGGGUGGCUGUUAUGUAGCAGUAGAUAAUUGGAACAAAGCUUAUUGACAUAAUACAUCUAUAUCACAUCCUCCAAUCCAUUUUUUUAAGUAAUAAAGUUGAUGUUUGUUUUGAUUUUCAGUUACAGCUUUACAUAUUUUGUCUUAAUUAGUCAAUUUUUUCCAAACUCAAAAUGGGUUUUUGUAAGAGUAGUAGUAGGGUCCUAGAAUAAUGGCAAUUCUCUUUCACUGGAGAAAGUUUUGUAGAGAAGACAAAAGAAUUUUUACAAGUACUCCACUGGUGAAAACUCAUAAACCUUGAAGGUAUUUUUAAAUUCAUCAUGCAUUUAUCAAUUUAUAAAUGAAUUCAUCAUUCAUUGGUCCAUUCAUCCAUCCCUCCAUCCAUUUCUAGAUCCUCUCAUAAGAGGAAAUCUAGGAAUAAGCCUGAUCAGUGAAAGUUUCAUGGGAAAGAGGAAGGAGGAAGAAAUUAUUUUAUUUUUAGAGUUUUGGGAGUUAGUGGUUAUGGACUUGCACUGGAGAAGAUGGGUGAGAAAGUUCAAGGUUUCUAAAAUGGGAAAGUAGGCCUGGAGAAAAUGUUGCAACCAAGAUUAUAAGGCCAAUUACCAGGUCUGAUUACCAGAAAAUAAUUUUUAAGGCAGGAAUAUUAGGCCAUAUCAGUACCUGAAAGAGUGAUCGAGGCUAAUUUGUUCAUUCAUGUAACAACAAUUUAUUAUGUGCUACUAAGUACCAUCACUAUAUUAUAAACUGAGGGUUCAGUAGUGGAUAAGAGAAACUAAUUCCCUGGCCUAAUGAAGAUUUCAUUCAACGGGGAAAACAAGAAACAUAUAUGUAAAUUAGCAAAAGUUAAUAAUAUCAUUCAAAGAGUGCUAAGAGCUCUGAAAAUAGUAAAGCAGGGUGACUGAUAAAACAGGACUAAGCAGGUAACAGUAAGAGGUGAUCAGGGAAAAAACCUCUGAAGAAAACAUAUUUGAUCUGGAAUCCAAAUGGCAAGUAGAAUGAAGAAGGUAAAUAAUUCAUACAAGAGCAUAUCUCUUCCAUAGCAAGUGCAAAGACCCUGGGCAAAUGCCAUAGUUGAGCUAGCACCCACCACUGGCUUCAAGUGAUGGGUGAGUGAUACAGACUCAAGGAAAGGGCCAAAAGGGCAGACAAAACCAGUUCAAUUUGUCACUUAUUCAUCCACCCAUUGAUCCAUCUACUGAUCCAUUUAUCCAUCCAUCCAUCCAUCCAUCCAUCCAUCCAUCCAUCCAUCUAUUCAACAUACAUGUUGGGUGCCCUUUACAUACCAGGACCUGUACUGGGCAUGGGAACUGCAGAGAUGAAAAGAUGAACAAUCUCUGUACUUGAGGGACUCAUCUCACUCUGUGAGAUGAACUGGCAUGUGACUGAAAACUCACUAUAUUGGUAACGAGACUAAAACACAGAGCUUAAUGAUUUAACCUGAUACCACCCAAGUGGUUAGCGGUUAGUGGCAGGGCUUCAGAAUUUUAUUUUCCUUCCCUACAGGGAAAACCAUUAUGUGUGACCUACUUUUUCAAACUCUCUUCCUCAGUGGGGCAACAAUUAGAGUUUAUCUAUUGCUAGUGCUUACCAUUUUAGGCUCCUUUAAUUAGAGUGUUUUAAAUUAGUGUUAUUUUAAUUUUGCUUAUCUCCUGAGACAUUAUAGAGGAUAAAUAGCAAAUGAAAUAAUGUACAUGAAAACACAUUGUAACCCAUAAACCAUCAUACAGAUGUGUGUUAUAUACAGUUUUAUAUUUGAGGAUAUAGCUUUAUGCAUUAGUACUGCUUCCUCCUCAGGGAUGUCUCCAAAAGAAUUCAGAGUAAAACAGACUUGUGGAUUGAUGCUUUAAAGACAUUUUGUAUUUUCUUUAAAAAUAAAAUUGACUCACAGUAGGUGCUUAAUAAAUAUUUGUUCAAAGAAUGCAUAAGAUGCAAUAUUCAGAGACAUAGAUUCAGUGUAGUAGGCAUCAGUGUGGCUACUUGGCUACUUACUGUGCAAAAGAUGUCAAUUUGUGAGUGCAAAUUCAUCUUAAGGAAAUUCUCUGAUUUAAUUUAAGCAUUGGUAGAGAGAUUUACUAUUAUCCUCCUUGGAAAUGAAAAGCAUAUAGCUCAGGGAAGGAAGAUCACAUUUUUAGGAGAACUAUCUGGGGGCAGAUUACCCAAAGUGUUAAUUAUUAUAAUUACUAUUGUUAAGUUGGUUUUAAAGUCCUAUAUGAUGUAAUAUCAUGUUCUCUUUUUGUUUCUCCAG